AGAUUUCCUCUCUCCAAAACCCUAACCUUUUCUUCAAUGUUCAUUCUUCACUUUUCCAUUUCUUUCCAUUUCCUCUUUGCAACACUCCACGUUCCCGACGACGAUCCGACGCUGCUUGCCGCCCUCGAUGCCGCCAUCACGACCCACUAUGUCGCCGUCGACGCCAUCGCUGCUCCGUUUGACGACGCCGCCGGCUCUCGCCGUUGUGCUUGCCGCCUCUAAACGACAAGCUGUUGCCGGGCCGCCACCCGUCGCUGCUGUUGCUCCACCGUCGCUGUUUGACCAUCGACGACGCCACUGCUGUUCAGACUUCAACGACGAGCCGCCACAUCUCGGCCUCCCGAUGACGAGCUGCUGCUAUUCGCGCCGCAACUAGGACAGAAGCAACUACCGCCUCGACGUAGGACAAAAACAGCUGCCGCCUCGACGUCCUUUUUGCCGAUCCUUGCCGAAUCCAGCAUUGCCCGCGUUGUGCCCAACGUUGCUCGAGGUCGCCCAACGUUGCUUCAACCCAGAACUAAACCCCAAGCCCGACUCACUGGCGACUCAGCUCAGCUGCGAGAUCUAGUCCAUGUAAUCGCUAGCCGAAUGAUAUGGUGAUAGAGUGGUAGGCGAGCCCUGUAAUGUUUACCAUCGACGACAGACGGAAGCUAAAAGGAAGUAUGGCGUGAAGGAGGCGCUUCAGUUGCCGUUGAGUAGCUCUUUAGUUGGAAGGAUCGAAAAUAUUGGAUUAGCAUAAGGCAAUGGAGAUAUUAUGAUUUUGGUCAAAAAGUGGUGCCACUACUUGUUUGUCUUCCUGGCACAGUAGGAAUGGUAGAUGUCUAUUACAAGUAGGUCAUGUGUUUGGUGAUGAAGGUAGUUUCAGUAUUUCAGCAGCAGCAAUAUGAGUAAUGAUUAGGAAUUUCUAGUUAUUUGCUAUUCAAUUUUAUCAUCUUACACUUUGACCACUUACUGGUCACUGCACAACGAACUUCUUUGGUGUUGUUAAUGUUGUUCCAAGGAUAUAGAGCAUGAGUUUUCCAUAAUUGGCCUAUUUUAAAAACUGAGGGUUAUUGGGUGAUUUUUGUUGAUAUUCCACUUGUUUGGAACCAUCGUGAAUGGAUUUAGGCAUUUGAAAAGUUCUUGAAUGCUAUCAACAUUCAUCAUGUAAGUACUCCGUUGGAAUUGGAAUUACUUUAUCUGUCUGUUUGGCAUUUGUUUACAUUGUU
Molecule: long non-coding RNA, 1208 nt
Organism: Eucalyptus grandis
Lineage: Eukaryota; Viridiplantae; Streptophyta; Magnoliopsida; Myrtales; Myrtaceae
Exons: 3
Source: RefSeq, a predicted model, not a curated record